Molecule: RNA transcript, 5680 nt
Organism: Ctenopharyngodon idella (grass carp)
Lineage: Eukaryota; Metazoa; Chordata; Actinopteri; Cypriniformes; Xenocyprididae
Gene: echdc2
Gene name: enoyl CoA hydratase domain containing 2
Exons: 4
Source: RefSeq, a predicted model, not a curated record
AAAAAUGUAUACCUUUUAACCACAAAUGCUCAUCUUUCACUGCUCUGUGAUGUGCCACGCAUUGCAUAAUCACAUUGUAAUGCGUAAUGUAGGCGGAAGUACCAAGCAAGUGUUUACAAAGCGAACGUGCAAAGACUAAGCCAAUCGCCCUUUACAAAAAAAGGUAAAACAACUAUGUCGGACGAUUUUGAAGUUAGAGGAGAAAAUGAGAUGUUUUUUGCCCUACCGUGGUACUUUCGCCAAUGUCAGUCGUGACCUUUCCUACGUGAUUACGUAAUGCGUGGCGCAUCGGAGAGCAAGACGAGCAUUUGUAGUUAAAAAGUACAUAAUUUUUUUUUUUUUUUAGAAAAUGGACGAUCGUUUCACUAGAUAAGACCCUUAUUCCUUAUCUGGGAUCGUGUAGAGCUCUUUGAAGCUGCAUUAAAACUGCAAUUUGGACCUUCAACCCGAUGAACCCCACUGAAGUCCACUAUAUGGAGAAAAAUCCUGGAAUGUUUUCCUCAAAAACCUUAAUUUCUUUUUGACUGAAGAAAGAAAGACAUAAACAUCUUGGAUGACAUGGGGGUGAAUAUUAUCAGGAAAUUUUCAUUCAGAAGUGAGCUAAUCCUUUAAUGAAGAAGUAAAAUGGAUUGUGAAGUCUGUUGGCUUUAAUAUAAGUGCAUUUAGCUCUCAAAUAUUCUGUUUAAAUCAAUCUGAAACAAAACCAAACAAUUAGCACUGGUCAUAUGCCAACACAGAUCUGAUCUCCAAGAUUGGAAAAACAAAGAUUAGCUUUGACUCAAUCAUUAACAGAGAUCUCAUAUAUGUGAUGCCCAAAGGCAUGGAAGAACUGGUCCAAGGUAAAUAUUACCACAUAGAUCUGGUAUGAGCAGAGCAGAGGGGACAAGGAAGAGGAAGAAAUGGGAACAUUUUAUACUGAAACAAAAAUGUUGGUGUCCUAAAUUUUAAUUAGAGAUAGCCAAGGUCAGGGGAUGUUUGAGAAUAUCAACAAGUUGACACUUGAGGCGUUAAUUAACUAUCACACACAGACAUAUACACACACACACACACACACACACGUUUGUUUUUGUGAAUUGUGGGGACAUUCCAUAGGCGUAAUGGUUUUUAUACUGUACAAACCGUAUUUUCUAUCGCCCUACACCUAAACCUACCCAUCACAGGAAACUGUGCACAUUUUUACUUUCUCAAAAAAACUCAUUCUGUAUGAUUUAUAAGCCUUUUGAAAAAUGGGGACAUGGGGUAAUGUCCUCAUAAGUCACCCUCUCCUUGUGAUACCUGUCAUACCCAUGUCAUUUAUACAAAUUUGUUUCCUGAUAUGUCACAAAAACAUGCACACACACUCACACACACACACACACACAUUAAAACCAGUUCAUCAAAUGCUUUUAAGUCACGUAAGCAUUUAGCAAUCUUAAUAAUUGAUAUACUCAAGAAAUUACAAAGACUUUAGUAUAUUGUCUUAGAGCAAUAUCCCCCUAUAAUCAACACCUGUCCUCAGACUUUAGCUAAUCAAACUCUGGGACUAAAAGAUAUAAACUUAAAUGGGACAAUUAAAAAUGCUUACGGUGGUUUUAAUAUCUAUCACCAACCCUGAUCAGUUACACCAAGGCCAACAACAUCUGAUUUAAGACCAGACACUGAUAGUUUAUUUUCAAUCAAUUUCAAGCUAAUAGGGCCGAUGAAACAGGGAGAUUUAGAGUUUUAUCGACAGGGGCUCUAUUUUGCUUUAUUUAAACCCAUUACUCAUCCAAUGAGUAAUGACCCAAACAGGCCGAAUGCAGCCUCCUCACCUUUAACUGAUGAACACUGUGGUGGAAGUGCUUCAUCAAAGCUUGUAUCUCUUAUCCUGCUGUGGACUCGGUCUCUCUCUCUCUCUCUCUCUCUCUCUCUCUUUUUCUUAAUACUGGAAGGGCCUGCUGCAUAAAAGCAUCCUGACCAUGUCUUUAAAAAAAAGUUUCUAGCAUGUUAUAUGUUUGGGAACAGUUCUUUUAACCCUAAUUGAUGGAAUGUGUAGCUUUUCAUUUAUUAAACAACUGUAGGAAGACAUAUCAUGGCCAUAUUCUAGGAUGACAAAGCCAAGAUUCAUCAGGCUCAAAUUGUGAAAGAAUGGUUAGGAGGGAGAAUGAAGAAUCAUUUUCACACAUGAAUUGGCACCUCUGAGUUCAGACCUUAAAUUCAUUGAAAAUCUUUGGGAUGUGCUAGAGAAGACUUUAGAGAGUGCUCACUUCUUGCAUUGUCAGUACAAGAUCUUGACCAAAAUUGAUGCACCUCUUGAUGGAAAUAACAUCAAAACAUUUAUUUCCAUCACGAGCUGCGUACAUUUUUGGUCAAUAUCUUGUAUUGACAAUGCAAGAGUUGAGCAGGUUACAAUUGUAAUCAUGAUUCCCAGAGAAGGGGAAUUGGACACUGCCUCUCGUUGCCAUGCCAUUGGGUCUGCCUGCAUGUCUCAAAGAGGUUGAUGACGUGUACUACGGGCACUUUGCUUAUGAUGUCAUGGGCUGUCGCCAGCCAAUGAAAAUAGGAGUGUGUUCACACAUGCUUCAGACACCGGAUAUGCUGAUGGUGUCCCCAUAUCGUCGAUCCAAGACGCAGUGUCUCCCCUUCUCAGGGAACCAUGGUUACAGUCAUAACCUGAGAUUUUUAUUAACCGCUACAGGGCUAAAUGUUAAAUAGCGGACCUUUACAUUUUAUUUUAAGUUUUAAUAAUUGUAUGUGUUUUUGUCAUUUUUAUAUAUAUAUAUAUAUAUAUAUAUGUUUUUCACUGCGCUGUUUUUCACUGCGCUUUCCUCAUCGUUACAUAUUACAAGUGACUGUCAAUGAGUGAGUCAUUGAAACAUUCACUCAACCAAUUCAUUCAAAAUGCUGAAUUAUUUAGGAAUGAAAACAAGUGGCUGGGGCCUCUAUGACCGAGUCACUGAUUCAUUCACUGAAUGAACCAAUUCAUUAAGGUACUUAGACACACACACAAUGGUAAGCUCUAUUGUAACUUUGUUUAGACCUAUUUUCAUUGAGGAAAAUGAAACAUUGGAGCAAAAAUGGAGAAAAGUAACUGGCAAUAUCGUGUCUAACAUGCAAGUUACUCAAUAACUUUUUGUUUACUGAGAUGUUGUAUGAAAGCAGUACUUAUAUUUGUGCUGUUGGUCUGAAUUUACCUCAGUUUUUUGUUUCGUUACGAAAUUGAUAUUACUUUAUCAGUUUUGUGUAAAUAUAUUUUUGAAACAUCAUCAUCAGGUAUGCGUCGUAGAGACUGGUUGCCAUGGCCCGGCGAGGCUCAGAGACGAGAAGAGAAGAGGACUGAGGCCAAACUGGCUGAGGGUCUGCAGAGACUCGACCAGGCUAAACAUUACCACAUCAAUACACUGACCAGAGAACAGCGCAGACUACACAGAGACCUCAUCUCCAUCAAAACAGGUAAUCCCUGGAAAAGAGGCCUCCACAGUUUAGGGCUACGACCCUCCAACCAUGAUGUUGGGCGCCCUGCUGCAUCCUACAAGAGGACCCUAUUACCCAGCAUCCCACUGGCAGGCAAAGAAGCAGACAGGUCCUCUUCUCUGCAGGCUCGUGUUCAGGAGUUUAUCAGCAGUGGGGAGAAAAGUACAGAACACUCCUCUGAGACUCUCUGCCUACCGGACCUAAAACAGCAGCCCGUCACAUCUCUAACUGCUACAUGUACAAAUACAGAAAGAGAGGAGAGCAAGGAGAGACAGAUGGAUAGAGAACAGGACAGAGAGAGGGAGGCACACAUGGAGGUUGUGAGGGACAGAGAAAAAGACAGCCAGAAAGAGAGAGAAUGGAGGCUGUUAAGGGAACGAGAGAAAGAUAAUGAAAGGGGAGCUGAGAUAAAUGGGAAUAGAUGUCCAUCCUCUCCUGUUUUAUUCCCUUCUGAGAUGUUAGCUCCUGAUGGACAUUUAAGAACAGUUCACACAUUACCAAACUUUGCACAGGCCCUGGCCGAAGCAAGAAAAGCAAGAUACAUCAGACACAGAGGACAACCGCUGUGUGAGCGAGAACUCACCAUACGAGAGAUAUUUUCCCAGGAUUCAAGAGAGACUCCUGCUCUCUGAGACACUAAAACAGUGGUUCUCAACUGGUUUUGCUUGAAGAUCAGAUUUUCUAUUGGACAGCAAGAUGCGAAAAAACAGUGCCAAAGUUUGCUAACAAACAGUGCUAACUUUCCGGAAAAGUUCGUUCUGGCUGGUAAACACCUUUGAACUACCAUUGGUCUGUGUCGUUUACGUAGGUGUGGCUCUGAUGCUCCGCCUUCUUUGACAUGAAAAUUAUCUCAAUUCUUUUAUUCUGUUCAGUCUGUUCAGCAAUAUGCUUUAUAAUAGACGUUGACAUUGUGGCUGUCAAGUGGUACAAGUCGGAGCUCCAUGAAAAUUCUGAGUUUACAAGUUGUAAUUAUGAGUUCUGUGAAGACGUGAAUGUUUUUUAAAAGUCAGAAUUUCAUAAUCACAGUAAUUCCGACAUACGCACCUUUUAUUAUCCCAUUUACUGUCGUUUUUCCUGCUGUCCAUGAUGCUAUCAGAAAAGGCCCAUUUUUGAGUCACAACCCACCAGUUGAGAACCGCUGAGUUAAAACACAAACAGAAACACAUACUCACAUAUGGUAGCCAUUCCUCUAUUGAAAACUAAAGCACAUAUGCAGUACACACACUUCAUUUAGAAGUUUUGCAUGAUGAAAUAGUUAAUUGCAUUAUAUAUCACACAAGCACCUUUAAUAUUUAUGUUUAAACUUAAAUCUACAUUAACCACACCAGUUUAAACUGGCAUGUUCUUAUCAGCUGAAAUUGUCAAUAAAAAUACAAUCAACAAAGCUGUUUUCUUCCUCAUUUUAUCAGGACAUAUUCUAUGCAUAGGCUACUUUGCCUCUGUGUACUUCAUUUCCUCAGUAGACCUCUGCUGUAGUUAUGAAACUGGCCAUCAUAUCACAUUAUCGCCCUCUGAUGGUCACCUCUUGUGGACUAAUCUCAUAUUACGCUACAAGCAAGGUACGCGUCGCGUCUAUCGCGUAAACAAAGUAUUUGAUUGGUCACCUGGGUGUCUACGUCAGAGUUACUCGCUUGUAGUGUUGUCAAGUUGUGUUACUAGGAGACUUUAAAAUGUGUAAAUAAACUCGAACAUUAAAUGUACAUCCACAUAUUAAACACAUUAGGCUGUGUUCCUGCAAAGUGAGUCUCUUUAGGUCAAGGCUGACAGUUUGUUUGAGGAAGUGAAUUGAGGUGGGAAAAUACACGAGCAAUGGUGAUAUGGCGUUUCGCAAAGCAUGAAUCUCCCACACGGCUUAUUAUUAACAGCAACAGCUCCGGUUUAAUUCCGGGUUAUACAGUUUCAAUUCUGGUUUGGGACCAGCAAGAUCACUGUUACAAUACGAUCUGCGAAAAGACCUAAUAUAGUUAUCAUGAAUGUAGCGCGCAGUUUUGUCAUGAGGACUGGGAUGUUUCUCAUUCAGCCCAGCGUGCAGGUGAUGGCAGCGCGGUGUGUGUUUGCAGGGCCGAUUAUGCGAGUUUUCCCCCGGGUUAGUUUUACUCAGUCCCGCUCGUGGUGCUCUGAUGGGCCAGUUGCUGAUCGGGAUGAAGUCAGGCUGCAUCGGCUUGAUGGUGAAGACAACGGUAUAGUGGAAGUGCUGAUGUGUCGUGAGAGGGCGCGGAACUCUCUGGGACGCGUGUUUGUGGGUCAG